UCGGGAUUAUCUAGGAUGGAAAAUACAUUAACUUCCUGUAGGCUUCUGGAUUAGUCAAGUCUGAGGAGUAAUAAAUAUACAAGUGGUUUGGCAACAGUGGGAGUGCAGAAUCAUGUGCUAUAAAAGGGAGGUAGCAUCGUAUGGUCUUUAUGAUAUGAUGAAUAUGAUGUCUGGUUGCCGAUAGCCGGAGACAAAGGUCAGGGAAGAGCACAGAAUCAGUGGCUAGUGCAAAAUCUUCUUGGCAGUGACCACUGAUAAUGAUUUCAAAUUUCUGAGUACUUAACUGAAAGAAUCUCGCCUCAAACAAGUCUGAAUGUUGGGUUGACAGCCUGAUACCCAGUGAGGGCUGGAUAGACAAGAUAGUGCAGUGAAGCUGGGCGUUUCAAGUGAAGUUACAGAGGAAAAGCGCGUCAAGGAGAAUUAGCAACUUAAGACUGAGAAACAGAGUUAUAAAUAAUGCAAAGUAAAGAUAACACCAAGGAUAAAAGGAAACUUCUUGUGGUCCCAGAAGAAACUACCAAUAUAUUGAAUCUAGACUUUCAUUCCCUAUCAGCAAGACUGGGCUGACUAUAGAACAAAGACACGAUGUUCUGAAAGGGUGAAAAGUACUGUAUGGAGCAGCUGAAGAAUAUUUAUGUAAUGUGAGAUGCUGUCUUGAAAAGCUAUUUAGAAGUCUGUCAAAUAAACAAUAAUUAACAAUAUACAUAAUUUGAUUUGAUAUGUUCUACAUUAAAAUUUUAGCAGUUGUAUAUUUGGAAAUAUCAUUAAAAAUUUAAUAUUUUUGAAUACAAUUGCUGUAUUUCAGAUAA
Hypanus sabinus (Atlantic stingray) is the source of this 809-nucleotide long non-coding RNA. RefSeq lists it as uncharacterized. The transcript has 3 exons. NCBI's taxonomy places the organism in Eukaryota, Metazoa, Chordata, Chondrichthyes, Myliobatiformes, Dasyatidae. The record is from RefSeq and is a predicted model, not a curated record.